RNAcentral lists this ribosomal RNA (477 nucleotides) under uncultured bacterium. RNAcentral describes it as "partial 16S ribosomal RNA". It matches the Rfam family "Bacterial small subunit ribosomal RNA", at positions 28 to 523 of the family's 1533-position model. The record is from RNAcentral.
GACGAACGCUGGCGGCGUGCUUAACACAUGCAAGUCGAACGGUAAGGCCCUUCGGGGUACACGAGUGGCGAACGGGUGAGUAACACGUGGGUGAUCUGCCCUGCACUUCGGGAUAAGCCUGGGAAACUGGGUCUAAUACCGGAUAGGACUACUGGCCGCAUGGGUGGGGGGGGAAAGCUUUUGCGGUGUGGGAUGGGCCCGCGGCCUUUCAGCUUGUUGGGGGGGUGAUGGCCUACCAAGGCGAGGCCGGGUGGCCGGCCGGGGAGGGUGCCCGGCCACACGGGGACUGAGAAACGCCCCAGACCCCUACGGGAGGAAGCAGUGGGAAUAUUGCACAGUGGGCGCAAGCCUGAUGCAGCGACGCCGCGUGAGGGAUGACGGCCUUCGGGUUGUAAACCUCUUUCAGCACAGACGAAGCGCAAGUGACGGUAUGUGCAGAAGAAGGACCGGCCAACUACGUGCCAGCCGCCGCCGUAA